Molecule: ribosomal RNA, 292 nt
Filed under: uncultured bacterium
Lineage: Bacteria
Description: partial 16S ribosomal RNA
Rfam family: Bacterial small subunit ribosomal RNA
Source: RNAcentral
GUGUCAGCCGCCGCGGUAAGACGAACCGUGCGAACGUUGUUCGGAAUCACUGGGCUUAAAGGGCGCGUAGGCGGGCUGCCGCGUCCGGGGUGAAAUCCUCCCGCUCAACGGGAGAACGGCCUCGGAUACGGGCGGCCUCGAGGGGGGUAGGGGCAUCUGGAACUGUGAGUGGAGCGGUGAAAUGCGUUGAUAUUCACAGGAACUCCGGUGGCGAAGGCGAGGUGCUGGACCCCAUCUGACGCUGAGGCGCGAAAGCCAGGGGAGCGAACGGGAUUAGAUACCCCCGUAGUCC